Molecule: ribosomal RNA, 117 nt
Filed under: Danio rerio (zebrafish)
Lineage: Eukaryota; Metazoa; Chordata; Actinopteri; Cypriniformes; Danionidae
Source: RNAcentral
AGCCACAGCCAUAUCAUCCUGCAGCCCAAGACUGGUUACUCACUGAAGCUAAGCAAGGCUGAGCCUAGUCUGGCCCUGGAUGAAAGACCACGUGGAAAAACUAGGUUGCUGUUAAUA